This 468-nucleotide ribosomal RNA is filed under the name uncultured bacterium. RNAcentral describes it as "partial 16S ribosomal RNA". It matches the Rfam family "Bacterial small subunit ribosomal RNA", at positions 28 to 507 of the family's 1533-position model. The record is from RNAcentral.
GACGAACGCUGGCGGCGUGCUUAACACAUGCAAGUCGAACGGAAAGGCCCUGCUUUUGUGGGGUGCUCGAGUGGCGAACGGGUGAGUAACACGUGAGUAACCUGCCCUUGACUUUGGGAUAACUUCAGGAAACUGGGGCUAAUACCGGAUAGGAGCUCCUGCUGCAUGGUGGGGGUUGGAAAGUUUCGGCGGUUGGGGAUGGACUCGCGGCUUAUCAGCUUGUUGGUGGGGUAGUGGCUUACCAAGGCUUUGACGGGUAGCCGGCCUGAGAGGGUGACCGGCCAAAUGGGGACUGAGAUAGGGCCCGGACCCAGCGGGGGGGCAGCGGGGGGAAAUUGUGCACAAGGGGGGGAGGCCUGAUGCAGCACCGCCGGGGGGGGGAGGGCGGCUUUCGGUUUGAAAACCGGUUCCGCCUGUGACGAGGGUGGGGGGACGGUAAUGGGUAAAGAAGCCCCGGCAAACUACGUG